GAUAUUUGCCGCCAGAGUAAAAAUAGAAUUUGGAUUUAGUUUUCUAAAAUCUUUUGAAACCGCCGAAGACCCUAAGAAAAAAAAUAAGAAAAGUCGUCCUUAGGUUUAAUUUAUCAGAAAUUCUAUCAUAACUUUCCUCUUCCAAAACCAAGGCAACAAUUCAUCCUUAGGUUUAAUUUAUCAGAAAAUCGUCGUCUCGUCGUGGUCUUGAUUUCAAGUUUCAUCGAAUUCGUUCUUCGAAUUUCAGGAUUCAUCACAUUCGCACAUCCAAUUACGUGUCUUAAUCGUUGUCUUGCUCGUGGACUCGUGGACUUGAUCGGGAUUUUAUCGAAUUCGCGAUUCCAAUUUCAUGUACUUUUUGAUUUGGGCCGUGUACUAUACUAGAACUAAACAGUUUGGUAGAUCCUGGAACUAAUCCCUGGAGAGCUACUAGUGCAUUUGGUAACAUCAGAUGAUGGAUUGGAUCGGAUAGCAAAUGAAGAUUAAAGUUGACAUUGAGAAUCAUGCGCACGUAAGGGAAACCAGUUGAAGAUGAAAAGAUAGAAGACAUUUAGUUUUGGAUUAUACAUUUUAGUUUUGGAUAUGAUCAUUUGAUUUUAUUUUGAACAUAAUAAUGUAAUUUUCAUAGAUCGUACAUCAAAUACUAUUAUUUUAAUUAAUUUGUUAAUUAGUUUGUUAGGGAGCGGGUUGUGCUCCCUUCCUUUAGUUGUUUCCUUGUUUGGAACUUAUUUUGUGUACAUACUAUCUUUUGGUAAUAAAAUUGCUAUUUUACCAAAAAAAAAUUAUAAAU
Molecule: long non-coding RNA, 790 nt
Organism: Spinacia oleracea (spinach)
Lineage: Eukaryota; Viridiplantae; Streptophyta; Magnoliopsida; Caryophyllales; Amaranthaceae
Exons: 3
Source: RefSeq, a predicted model, not a curated record